GCGUCCAGAGACCGGGGAGGGAAACGCGAUGGCUCUUGAGUAUAGGGUUUGAUCUCCUGGAGAAGGAGAGGGGGUCACAUUCUAGGUUCAUGCUGUGCCAGUGGCGAGACGCGUGUAAUGUAAAGAAUGUCUGCUAUUUCCAGAUUCCAGUAGGCCCAAGGAAGACAAUCAACCAUUCUGAACGGCACAUAACAUCAUCAGGAGACAGAUUGCAUAAAGCUGCUCCGUGAUUGAUUCCUACAGUCAAUAUAUCCCAUCCAGUCACCGAGACAUUCCUUGGAGAGAUCCCUCCGGUCAACAUGACAUGAUUUAGCAGCAAUUCGAAAUGGGACAACUAUCUUGGAUCAGAAACUUUGGGAAGAAUGAGACAUCAAGAGGGAGAAAUGAAAACGGAGCCAGGCACUUUAUCAUCCAGAAUCGGAUCGACCGGGAACCGUCACGCAACAGGAGAAGAUACGGACGUCCGGAGACGGAGUCGAACUCAUUUCCCAGCAUCGAGUGGAAAUUUCCAGCUCAAUUAAGAGAUGGACAAAAUUGGCAUCUGACCUAGAAUGACUGGAUAUGAAAUAAACCAAAUUGGGCCAUCUU
Ornithorhynchus anatinus (platypus) is the source of this 588-nucleotide long non-coding RNA. RefSeq lists it as uncharacterized. The transcript is spliced from 4 exons. NCBI's taxonomy places the organism in Eukaryota, Metazoa, Chordata, Mammalia, Monotremata, Ornithorhynchidae. The record is from RefSeq and is a predicted model, not a curated record.